This 519-nucleotide ribosomal RNA is filed under the name uncultured eukaryote. RNAcentral's name for it is "SSU rRNA". It matches the Rfam family "Eukaryotic small subunit ribosomal RNA", at positions 1161 to 1699 of the family's 1831-position model. The record is from RNAcentral.
AGGGCACCACCAGGAGUGGAGCCUGCGGCUUAAUUUGACUCAACACGGGAAAACUCACCCGGCCCGGACACUGGAAGGAUUGACAGAUUGAGAGCUCUUUCUUGAUUCAGUGGGUGGUGGUGCAUGGCCGUUCUUAGUUGGUGGAGUGAUUUGUCUGGUUAAUUCCGAUAACGAACGAGACUCUAGCCUACUAAAUAGAUCGUCGGCUUACAAACGCCGGCGAGACUUCUUAGAGGGACAGGCGGUGAUUCAACCGCACGAAACAGAGCAAUAACAGGUCUGUGAUGCCCUUAGAUGUCCGGGGCCGCACGCGCGCUACACUGAAGUGAUCAGCGUGCUUUUUCAACCUACUCUGUCAAGAGUGGGGAACCCAAUGAACCUUCUUCGUGAUUGGGAUAGGGGAUUGUAAUUAUUCCCCUUGAACGAGGAAUUCCCAGUAAGCGCGAGUCAUAAGCUCGCGUUGAUUACGUCCCUGCCCUUUGUACACACCGCCCGUCGCUACUGCCGAUUGAAUGUUUU